RNAcentral lists this ribosomal RNA (497 nucleotides) under uncultured bacterium. Its description in RNAcentral is "partial 16S ribosomal RNA". It matches the Rfam family "Bacterial small subunit ribosomal RNA", at positions 28 to 507 of the family's 1533-position model. The record is from RNAcentral.
GAUGAACGCUGGCGGCGUGCCUAAUACAUGCAAGUCGAGCGAACAGAUGAGGAGCUUGCUCCUCUGACGUUAGCGGCGGACGGGUGAGUAACACGUGGAUAACCUACCUAUAAGACUGGGAUAACUUCGGGAAACCGGAGCUAAUACCGGAUAAUAUAUUGAACCGCAUGGUUCAAUAGUGAAAGACGGUUUUGCUGUCACUUAUAGAUGGAUCCGCGCCGCAUUAGCUAGUUGGUAAGGUAACGGCUUACCAAGGCAACGAUGCGUAGCCGACCUGAGAGGGUGAUCGGCCACACUGGAACUGAGACACGGUCCAGACUCCUACGGGAGGCAGCAGUAGGGAAUCUUCCGCCAUGGGCGAAAGCCUGACGGAGCAACGCCGCGUGAGUGAUGAAGGUCUUCGGAUCGUAAAACUCUGUUAUUAGGGAAGAACAAAUGUGUAAGUAACUAUGCACGUCUUGACGGUACCUAAUCAGAAAGCCACGGCUAACUACGUG